AUGGUUUGCAGGUUCUCUCCAUUGCUUGGCUACAGCAUAGACGAAGUUCUCAAGCCUAAGGUAGAAUUUCUGAUGAAUUCAAUGGGAAAACCAAUAAGUGAUGUAGUUGAAUACCCAAGAUAUUUCAGCUAUUCUUUAGAGAAGAAGAUAAAACCUAGAUAUUGGGUGCUCAAUGGUAGAAACAUGGAAUGCAGCUUGAAAAGUAUGUUGGGUAAAAAUGAUGAAGAAUUUGCUGCAGAGUUUGGAAAGGGGAAGAUGCUUGUCCCCCCACUUUAAUUCUGGAACAUUACUCGCCAGUCGCCAGUGUUGUUUUAAUACAUUUUUUUAAGUAGAUGCACGAAUCAAUUGAUGGUUGGUGUGGUGGACUGGUGCAUGUGCACAGGUGACUCGGUGUUUUUUCUUGUGAAUAAAUUCAGAUCA
This 420-nucleotide unclassified non-coding RNA is filed under the name Hevea brasiliensis (rubber tree). Lineage: Eukaryota; Viridiplantae; Streptophyta; Magnoliopsida; Malpighiales; Euphorbiaceae. The record is from RNAcentral.